This 425-nucleotide ribosomal RNA is filed under the name uncultured bacterium. Its description in RNAcentral is "partial 16S ribosomal RNA". It matches the Rfam family "Bacterial small subunit ribosomal RNA", at positions 354 to 796 of the family's 1533-position model. The record is from RNAcentral.
GUUAGGAAUAUUGGACAAUGGGCGCAAGCCUGAUCCAGCCAUGCCGCGUGAGUGAUGAAGGCCUUCGGGUUGUAAAGCUCUUUAGUCCACGAAUAUAAUGACUGUAGUGGAAGAAUAAGCCCCGGCUAACUUCGUGCCAGCAGCCGCGGUAAUACGAAGGGGGCGAGCGUUAUUCGGAAUCACUGGGCGUAAAGCGUGCGUAGGCUGUUUUGUAAGUCAGAAGUGAAAGCCCAGGGCUUAACCCUGGAAUUGCAUUUGAAACUACAAGACUCGAAUUCGGGAGAGGAUAGCGGAAUUGUCAGUGUAGCAGUGAAAUGCGUAGAUAUUGACAGGAACACCAGUGGCGCAAGCGGCUAUCUGGACCGAUAUUGACGCUGAGGCACGAAAGCGUGGGGAGCAAACAGGAUUAGAAACCCUGGUAGUCC